UCCACAAACCGCCGCUGCAUCCUCCUCUUCUUCUUCAUGCUGUCUUUUUUUUUUCUACAGCUUCGUGUCUUUCUUUUUCUUCACCUUCUUCUUUCUUCUUCGUUUGUACAAUAAUUUCACCCUCUUCUUUUUAAUUUCCAUAAACAAUUAAUAGUUGUGAAAUUGGGACGAUUCCCAACUUUUACGGUUUCUGCCUCUCUUUUCGCCUCUGAGAUUCGUCCCUCCGGCAAGGCCCGCCGCAUCACCGCCGUCUCCGACGCACCACCGGCCUCUCCAUCCCAGGGAAUCGACGCUUGCUUCAAGACGUCUCCGGCGGCAGAUCCGUUUCCAAUUUUUGCAAGAAAGUUCUUUAUGCAAUACACAUUCGUUCAAAUUUUUUUUUUUUUUGAGAAAACACAUUCGCUCAAUUGCUUUGCUUAAGCAUAUCGACUGACAUUUUCUAUUCAAAAUAUCAUCUUCUCGACGAUUAAGAAGAAACUAAAUUGUUGUUAAAUUCACGUUUUUUCAAA
Molecule: long non-coding RNA, 509 nt
Organism: Salvia miltiorrhiza (redroot sage)
Lineage: Eukaryota; Viridiplantae; Streptophyta; Magnoliopsida; Lamiales; Lamiaceae
Exons: 2
Source: RefSeq, a predicted model, not a curated record